This 6929-nucleotide long non-coding RNA is filed under the name Sorghum bicolor (sorghum). RNAcentral's name for it is "long non-coding RNA (SBIC_LNC014393)". Lineage: Eukaryota; Viridiplantae; Streptophyta; Magnoliopsida; Poales; Poaceae. The record is from RNAcentral.
AACCAUGGAUCCAAAGAAACAAAUCAAUAAGUCAAAUCAAGAUGUGCAUGUGUGGCGAAUGAAUGGUGUAUGGUGAUGAUGGUGGUAACAAUGGUGAAAGUCUAAUUCUACUUUUGCUCUUUUGAGGGGAUACAUACCUUCCUUGCUCUUUGAAACUUUGUGAGGAGAAUGAGAUUCUCUUCUUUUUUUCUCUCAGGUGGGUAUCUUGUACCCCUAAUUCUACUGUCGGACACUUGUCCAUUUUUACCUCUCAUCUCACUUUUUCUUUUCUGUCGAGGUUCCGGGCUCUUGCCCCUUUUUAUUUCCUCGUAUCUUUUUCCUUUCUUUUUUUAGAGCACUCAUCUCUUGAGAUAAUAUAGCAAGUGGUAGUAACAAGAUAACUUGAGCAUUUAUUUCACAGGGGAAAAACAAAGAUGUUUUUGGCUAUUCUCUCCCGGAUUAGGAGUAGAAUAUUUUUUGGUGGUUCUGGAGAUGGAAAUGGAUGGAUAUAUGUGGAUGGUACUUCUAGAGUAGAAGUAGCAUGUGUGAGUGAACGUGUAAGUGAAUCUUGAUUUAACCACAUGACAAGCUCCUAAGGGUCUACACAGCUUGACCACACUCAAUGCUCAUAAGCAGUAAAUAGUAAAUGUGUGGCUCAAAGUCUAGCAAGCAUGUAUAUAUGGCUGUGGUAGGAAUUUAAACUCUCAUCAUACAGGAACUCAUUAUGCAACAUUUUAAAUAUUUUCAAAGAUAAAAUUCUCCAGAAUUCUAGUAUCUCUAGAAACAGAUAAACAGCAGCUCAACCUUCCCAUAUCAUAUCCGUUAACAACUUAGAUGUUGCAUAUCGUCGUGCUCCUCCCCCUCAACCACAGACCCACAAGAUAAAGUUGGUGGGUUUAUAUUUUAAUAUAGUAUAAGUAUAAAUAUAGAUAGAAAGAUAGAAAUACUUAGCGAGAUAAAUGGGGGUGCUCUCCCCCAAGCUAAAUUUUGACGUAAUUUCUCUUGAUGUAGCUAGCAGGCGGCAGAGGUGUAUUUGAAAGUCAGCAGCAUUCUGACAGAGAUUAGAAUGUCCUCCGUCUGCUAGUCUUCUUGAUUCUUAAAUUCAGUGGAGCUCAAAUAGACAACAAAGCUUGUGGAACUAAUUAAGUGUUAGCAUAAAUAUCUAGCCUUCAUCCCGUUGAGCUUCCUCAAUAAAUAUUACUCCCUGUUUUUAUAUUUUUAUUUUAUAAAGCAGAAAAUAAAUAUUUAUUUUAUUUUUAUGCCACCACAGUGAAGGUACUUAUGGGUUUUAUGCCACUCGUAUACUCACAUGGGGCUUAGUAUUUUUUAACAUUUUUAUUUUCUUUUCAAGAUAGCAUGAUUAACUAAUAAUCUAAUUAAGGAAAGUAAAUAAUUAAAGGGAAAAGAGAAUGCAGAAGGGUUCAAUGUUUUAAGUCUUCUUGACAAGACUUCUCACCGUGUUCAUUCUUCAGGUGCGUCAUUUGAUUCAGGUGCGGACCUUGACGUCUGCACCUCUUCGUUUGCCCAGCAGUUUGAAGUGCGGCGUUGGCAGUAUCCUGCUCAGUGUGUUUGUGCUCGUAGAUCCAGGUCCUUCACUUGGUAGAGUCUGAGAGUUAUAAAACUCCUCCGUGUUUUGCUCAAAGUGUACCUGCUCAUAGAGACAAGGCAGAGAUCAAGUGCAUGGGUCCUGUUGGUGGAAAACACCAACAGAACCUAAAGUGUAUUUGUUCUUCUCUAACCCUAAGCAUAGUGAGCAAGACAAAGUUGAUGGAUGAAAAGUUCAAUAGUGUAGCACUUAUAACAUUUGUCAGAUCAGAUCGCUCAACGUUAUGGAAAGAUAAUCUAUCUAUGUAUAUGUCUUUUUCUUUAUAUCUCUCAAUGAUGGAAUGUGUAACAUUUUAGCUCAUAUGAUUAGGAGUGUGGGAUCAUGGAGGUAGUACUAAGAACAAGGAUUAAAGGACUAAACAUGCUGAAUCAGUUGGGUUGGUUAAUCUAGAGUCAUACAUGUUUGUCUCUUUUAUUUAUAUGAACGCCAGAACCAAGGAGAAGCUUAUAAAAGUGAUAGUCAAGUACCUUAAGAUGUUACCUUGCUUGAAGAGUGAUGGUACAGUAUCACCUUAUGGAAGCUUUCCUUCCUUAGCGGUUGUGCAUCGUGUUUGUGGCACCCUCCAUGGAUCAUCUCUCUAUGAUGAAUGAGCUAUGUCCUUCUUGUGCAAAUUGUUAAACUUCAUGUGUCACUCUCUUCGUCUCUGAUGUGAGUUUAUCUCAGGACUUCCCAAAUUAAUAUUGAAAGUUUUUCUGCAGGGGUUAGUCCGACAAAAAUAUACCAAUGUCUACACAAGCAGUUUUUAGUUCAAUAACCAAACUAGACUCCAUGUCUAAUUAGAUUAAGGAAGGCUGUUUAACCUAAGCACCAUGCUUAAUUUAAAAGCCAAUAGAAGUAUGUGCAGUACUUCCAAACUAACACUUACUAGUAAAUAGACAAAGGUAUCAUGACAGCAUUUAUAGAGAUCUACUCAAGUGGAGAUGAAGUAGUGUGAUUAGUAUUUAACAAAUUGAGCAUGUCUUAAAGGUAGGGACAACCAACAUAGCAACAUGGCAAAGGAUGUUUUUAUGUAAAGUACUCCCCCAAGCUUGAAGUUUGCAGAAUUUAAGUUUGGAUGAAUUUAACUCAGUGUUGCAUGAUGAUUGGUUGGACAUACCUUGUACUUGCUUGUCAUUCAUCUGAUCUGCUUGUUCCAAUCCUGGAAAGGUUAGUGACAAGAAUACCCGAAGGAAUAUUUUUACAAUUAUCCUUAUAUGCUCAAUACACAAGGUAAUGUUGCAAAUAAUUAAAAACUCAUGUUACGAUCUGAUCAGUGCUUAUUUUAGGACACCAAGCUUGUCCUUGGGAAACCAUCAAUUUAUGUCGGCGAAGUGGUUUCCCUUCCAACGCUGACCUAAAUCAAAAUCAACUCAACGAGAUCUGCAAUAUUUAUUAUAGACAUAUGCAUCGACAACCACCCUUUUAAAGUUUUUAUAAAUAGAAAGGAAGAGGGGGUUGGAGAUCUCAAAUGUGGUGAUGUUGGAGAGACCAAUAGUUUGGGAAGAUGUUGCAUAUGAGCAUGGAGUAAACAAAGUGGCUAUGAAAUAAAUUCCAUGCUCAUUAAUGUUAUCUUCGUCUCCAAUCUGAAUGUUCAGAGUUUCUCUUGGAUUGGUCUCACCUAUGUCCUCUUCUGUAGUUGGAUGAAUCUCAUCUUCAAAGGGAGUCAAGAACUCAUCAUUUGAAAUUGAGCCAAAGUCAGAAUCUUCCUUAUUCAUCCAUUCUACACAUUGUAGCCAUUUAGAACUUGUGAUCAGGAAAGGGGAGGUAUUAGAAUUUUCAAUAUGGCUUAGCUCCCCUUCACUUGAUAUGUUAUCCUCGACUUCUUCAUAACAGGAACCAGGACAUUCUCUAAGAGAACCAUUAUUGCGAGGAUUUGAAUUAUCCCUGCUUGAAGGUCUCUUAUGGAACCAGAAGUCUAAACCAUCAGCAUCUGAAAGAUUUAAGGUCAGAAUUCCUUCCUCCCUUGGAGAAUUUUGGGGUAUUGAUGGUUUAGGAUCGAUAGCUAAAGUUUGGAAUUGAAGUGUUUGUGAUCUGGCUAUCGAAACUUCUUCUUGUCUAGGAACUGGUUCUGUCUCUUUCUCAGGGAUAUAAAAGCUAGGAGACUUCCCACUUAAUAAAUCAAUCAAAUUCCAAGCUUCACUAGAGGCUGUAUUCAAGGUUUGCUUAUUUUUCCCACUAAGGCCCUCAAAAAAGUGAAUUAGAAGAACUUCUUCUGGAAUAGAAAGCUUUGGGCCAGUGAGAGUAAGGUUAAUAAAGCGGUCCCAUGAUUUCCUAAGAGAUUCUUCUUCCCGUUGUCUAAAAGAAAUAAUCUCACGCCGAAGUUCUGCCACUUUGGAGAUUGGAAAAUAUUUAGAAAGAAAACUACUAUAUAACUCCUUCCAAUCUCCAUAAACACUCCCUACUUUGAGUAUGUACCAAUGUCUAGCUUUUCCCGUUAAGGAGAACGGAAAGAGCUUCCAUUUAAGGGUCUCAUCGGACAUUCCUUCUAUGUGAAGGAGGUCACAGACUCGAUAAAAUUCUCUUAGGUGUGUGUAUGGGUUUUCCUCACCUUCUCCUGAGAAAGGUUGUCUUUGAACAAAUUCUAUGUAUUCGGGGUCUAUCUCAAAACUAGAUGCUAUGAUAGGCUUUGAAAAUUUUGGUGGUUCGAGAUGUGUGCCCGUAGGUCUAUGAAAUUCAUAGAUAGACAUGUUUGAAUUCAUGAUAGACCAGAGAUCAAGGAUUAGAUAAGAAGAAAGAUUAGCAGAGAUGAGGUAAAGGAUAAAAGGAAAAUAUUUUUUUUAUUUUUUUAGUAAAUGAUUAAGCUAGUUCGUAGUCAACUCAGCAACCGUUUCCCCAGCAACGGCACCAAAAAUACUUGUUGACACUUGCUAACACCACUUGAAUACUAGGUUGUCAUCCCCAGCAUGGCACUAGAGUGUACUAUGGUAUUUAUACGCACACAGAUAAUCCGCAAGCGCACGGAUACCGUUGAAGCUUUUUACCCGGUUAAAGGUUUUAUCGUAUCCACAGGGAAAUGGGAGAAUUGAUCUACGCUCUAACUUAACCAGGAUAAGUAAAUAAGUGUAAAUAGGAAGAUGGUAGAAUCGAAUAAGAACAAUAUUAAAGGUAAGAUAAUAGUGAGUGAUAAUAUGGGAAUAGAGAAUAGAACAAUUCUAGUAUAUGGGCGAUGGCAGCAUAAUAGAGAGAAUAAUUAUGGUUUCUCUACUACAAAGGGGUAUGUCUAUGUCUGGGACGAACCACGUGAUAAGAGUACACCACAAAGGAUGCUUAUCCAUAGGCCGAUAAACCCUACCAGUCCUGCUAACAGUAGGUGAACUACAGGGGACCAACGUAACUGUCACCUACGUGGCCUACCACACGAUCCUGCUAGACAGGGGAUAUCCACAAGUAAUCUAGGUCUAAGCACCAUGCUUACACCUAUACUACAACUCUCACCUAUAGCGUCCUAUAGAUUAAAGUACUCAAAGAGUUGUGAACCAGAACAUACAUGGAUAGUAAUUGCAUAAUGAAAUAGAAGUAGAUUACCAGAGUCAUCCCAUGAGCAAGCUUGAUUAGAGCUUGAUCAUGGCGAAGUACAACCAGAGGAAGAACCGACAGGCCGGCCUCUCCACCAAUCCUCCCUCGCUCUCCAUCUCGCUACUAUCUUGAUCUACUCUAGUUUAGAGAUGAGAGGAGAGCUCUCAUCUCCAAACCCUAGCUUUUGCUCUGUCUAUGAAUAAUGAAUAGGGAUCAAGGGGUGUCUCCUCCAGGGGCCAGGGGGCCUGCUUAUAUAGUCCCCUCAAGUGAAUAUGGGCCGUCGGAUCAAACCGACAUUAAUCGCACGGUUUUCCUUGAUCCUUUAGGUCGGUGGAGCAUGAUCCGUGAAGUAGAACGUGAUUGGCUGAAGCACCAGGGCGGGCGCCCAAGGGGGGAGGGCGGGCACCCUGUCCCCGAGCCUGCUCGGCUUCCCGUUCAUUCUCGUGGCUUCUGGAGUCUUCUAGAUGAUAGAAAAUUGCGCGGCACAUUAAUAUCUCUAUGUCAACCUGACAUGUGGCCUUUCCUCCAUAUUUCCUGGUAACCCCCUGCAGAAAUAGACAAACACCAAAACUCAUGGAAUUCUGUCAGAUAAAACCCUAAGUCUGGGUGUUAGUUGCAUUUGGAUCCUUUUCUUUAUUUAUUUGAUGAGUAAAUUUGAUACUUAAGGACCGUCAACAACUCCCCCAAGCUUACCUCUUGCUCGUCCCUGAGCAAGGAUGGACUCAAGAGUUACUGCAGUGGUUUCAUGCCUUAAAGGUACACAUGCGUUCAAACAAGAUCUCAUCUCUAGGUUAGGGUAAACUGUUGAGACUUAAAACAUACUCAUUUUACCUUUCACCACGGGGCUUGCAACCGUCACUUAUGUCUUGAGCAGUUAAAAGAUAGAAUGGUCAAGUCAAGCACCAUGUCUCUUAUUCUUUGAUCAACUAUAGCACUAGAGUUUUUGUAGAUUUUCAAAAUAAAACUCGAAGAUUCCUUUUACGACUCUCUCAAUUCUCUCUUUUGUGGUAUUUCUGGAUCCUUACCAAGGUAGUGAUGGUAUAUGCCUUCUCUUAAAGUAUGUGGUAUUUGUGGUAUGAGGCAUAGUGACAUACUUACAAGACAUUUUUUGCAUAGUCAAACCAUGGAUCCAGAGAAUCAAGUCAAUAAGUCAAAUCAAGAUGUGCAUGUGUGGCGAAUGAAUGGUGUAUGGUGAUGAUAGUGAUAAUGGUGAAAGCAAUGGUGAAACUCUAAUUCUACUUUUGCUCUUUUGAGGGGAUACAUACCUUUCUUACACUUUGAAGCUUUUUGAGGGGAAUGAGAUGCUCUAUAUUUUCUUUUUCUUUUCUCUCAGGUGGGUAUCUUGUACCCAUAAUUCUACUGUCGGACACUUGUCCAUUUUUACCUCUCGUCUCAUUUUUUUUCUUCGAUGUUCCGGGCACUUGCCCCUUUUUAUUUCCACGUAUUUUUCCUUUUUUCAGAGCACUCACCCUCCUGGAAUAAUGUAGCAAGUGGUAGUAACCAAAAUAUCUCGAGCAUUUAUUUCACAGGGAAUAACAGGGAUAGGAUAAUGUUUUUGGCUAUUCUCUCCUGGAUAGGAGUAGAAUAAUUUUGGGUGAAUCUGGAGAUGGAAAUGAGUGGAUGUAUGUGGAUGCGUACUUCCGGAGUAGAAGCAGCAUGUAUGAGUGAACGUGCAAAUGAACCUUGAUUUUAACCGCAUGACAAGCUCCUAAGGGUCUACAUAGCUUGACCACACUCAAUGCUCAUAAGGAGUAAAAAGUAAAUGUAUGGUUCAUAGUCUAAUAAGCAUGUAUAUAUGGCUGUGGUAGGAUUUUAAACUCUCAUCAUACAGGAACUCAUCAUGCAGUAU